This 1242-nucleotide ribosomal RNA is filed under the name metagenome. RNAcentral's name for it is "bacterial LSU rRNA". It matches the Rfam family "Bacterial large subunit ribosomal RNA", at positions 1564 to 2815 of the family's 2925-position model. The record is from RNAcentral.
UGAAUACGAGAUGCUACGGCGUCGAAGCAGUCUAUGUCAUACUUCCAAGAAAAGCUUGCACUGUCAUAAACAAAUAAUGCCUGUACCAUAACCGACACAGGUGGGUAGGUAGAGUAUACUAAGGGGCGCGAGAUAACUCUCUCUAAGGAACUCGGCAAAAUGACUCCGUAACUUCGGGAGAAGGAGUGCCUUAUUUAUAAGGUUGCAAUAACAAGAUCCAAGCAACUGUUUACCAAAAACACAGGUCUCCGCUAAGUCGUAAGACGAUGUAUGGGGGCUGACGCCUGCCCAGUGCCAGAAGGUUAAGGAAGUUGGUUAGCAUCCGCGAAGCUGAUAACUGAAGCCCUGGUGAACGGCGGCCGUAACCAUAACGGUCCUAAGGUAGCGAAAUUCCUUGUCGGGUAAGUUCCGACCCGCACGAAAGGCGUAAUGAUUUGGAUACUGUCUCGGAGAGGGGCUCGGUGAAAUAGACUUGUCUGUGAAGAUGCGGACUACCUGCACCAGGACAGAAAGACCCUAUGAAGCUUUACUGUAACCUGAAAUUGAAAUUGGACUUUACUUGCGCAGUAUAGGUGGGAGGCGUUGAGAAUAUUCUUGCGGGAUUAUUGGAGCCAUCAGUGAGAUACCACUCUUGUAAUGUUAGAUUUCUAACUUUGUAUCAUUAUCUGGUCAAAGAACAGUUUCAGGCGGGCAGUUUGACUGGGGCGGUCGCCUCCUAAACGGUAACGGAGGCGCACAAAGGUUUCCUCUGAACGGGUAGAAAUCGUAUCUAGAGUGUAAAGGCAUAAGGAAGCUUGACUGUGAGACCUACAAGUCGAGCAGGGACGAAAGUCGGUCUUAGUGAUCUGACGGUGCUGAGUGGAAAGGCCGUCACUCAACGGAUAAAAGUUACUCUAAGGAUAACAGGCUGAUCUCCCCCAAGAGUUCACAUCGACGGGGAGGUUUGGCACCUCGAUGUCGGCUCAUCGCAUCCUGGGGCGGUAGUACGUCCCAAGGGUUGGGCUGUUCGCCCAUGAAAGCGGUACGCGAGCUGGGUUCAGAACGUCGUGAGACAGUUCGGUCCAUAUCCGGUGUAGGCGUUAGAAUAUUGAGGGGAGCCUUCUUUAGUACGAGAGGACCGAGAAGGACAUACCUCUGGUGUACCAGUUAUCGUGCCAACGGUAAACGCUGGGUAGCUAUGUGUGGAGUGGAUAACCGCUGAAAGCAUCUAAGUGGGAAGCCCACCUCAAGAUAAGUAUUCUC